This is a long non-coding RNA of Cyprinus carpio (common carp), 1133 nucleotides long. RefSeq lists it as uncharacterized. The transcript is spliced from 3 exons. Lineage: Eukaryota; Metazoa; Chordata; Actinopteri; Cypriniformes; Cyprinidae. The record is from RefSeq and is a predicted model, not a curated record.
UUCGUUUAUUCUUAUGAGUAUUAAUACAGUGACAAACGGCACACAGGCUUUUGAGAAACUUUGUGAUGCAAAUUCCCUGAUUAUUUUGUUUUAAUUAACUUUUUUUUUCAUUAACAAAAUUGUUAUUAGUAGAAGUGGUGUUAGUGUUUCAAAUAUAAUUUGUUUUUUUAAAUGUUUUGCAGGUAUUAUAAUUGUUUUCAUUUAUAAUAACAAACUUAUUAUUUUUACUGCUAUUAUUUAUUUGUUUAAUUAUUUAUUUGUUUCGUUUUAGCAGAUUGUGAAAUAAGGCCUGGGAUCUGAAACCUGAUCAAAAUGGGUUUCCUGACUACAUACAAUUUAAUUUUGUGUAAAAUUCUCCAUUUCUCAGUGUAUUAUUUAAAAGAGCGGAGGAUAGUUUCUGUAAGUCUCUUCUGAAGAUCAUGUGAAACUGAAGACUGGAGUAGUGAUGCUGAAAAUUCAGCUUCGCAUCACAGGAAUAAAUUACAGUUUAACAGAUUCACAUAGAAAACAGUUAUUUUACAUUAUGAAAAUAUUUCACAAAUUUGACUGUAUUUACUGUGUUUCUGAUCAAGUAAAUGCAGCUUUGGUGAGCCGGAGAAACUGUUUUGAACACCAGAUAUCUUGCAGAAUAUUUUAUUCCUAUGUUAAUUUUUAUGUGUAGCUUAUUUUAUGUGUGUGGUUGUGAGAGACAAAAGAAAAAAAAAUGGAAAUGAAUCGAAUGUUUGACAUAUUUGAGUGCGUUUGCAGGAGAAAACUCAAAGAGAGAGCAGGAAAACAGAAGCGUCAGCCUCUAAACCGGAAGAUGAUGAUGAUGAUGAACAAGAUGAAAAUGACAACAAUGAAGAAUCAGGUGGAGAUGAUGAUGAGUUCUCGUCAGGUGAUGAAGAGACACUGAGAGAAAAGCAGAAGAGAGGCAAGAGGAACACGGCAGAAGCUGACAUGAAUCUGUCCAGACCUUUACUGAAGGUGAGACUGACGCCACGUUUAUUAGAAACAUACUGUAAACUUUUAUUCAACUAGGACGCAUUAAAUUGAUGAAAAGUGACAGUAAAGAUAUUAAUAAUGUGACAAAAGAUUCUAUUUCAAAUAAAUGCUGUUCUCUUGAACUUUCUAUUCAUCUCUGAAUCCUGAAA